Molecule: ribosomal RNA, 497 nt
Filed under: uncultured bacterium
Lineage: Bacteria
Description: partial 16S ribosomal RNA
Rfam family: Bacterial small subunit ribosomal RNA
Source: RNAcentral
GAUGAACGCUGGCGGCGUGCCUAAUACAUGCAAGUCGAGCGAACGGACGAGAAGCUUGCUUCUCUGAUGUUAGCGGCGGACGGGUGAGUAACACGUGGAUAACCUACCUAUAAGACUGGGAUAACUUCGGGAAACCGGAGCUAAUACCGGAUAAUAUUUUGAACCGCAUGGUUCAAAAGUGAAAGACGGUCUUGCUGUCACUUAUAGAUGGAUCCGCGCUGCAUUAGCUAGUUGGUAAGGUAACGGCUUACCAAGGCAACGAUGCAUAGCCGACCUGAGAGGGUGAUCGGCCACCCUGGAACUGAGACACGGUCCAGACUCCUACGGGAGGCAGCAGUAGGGAAUCGUCCGCAAUGGGCGAAAGCCUGACGGAGCAACGCCGCGUGAGUGAUGAAGGUCUUCGGAUCGUAAAACUCUGUUAUUAGGGAAGAACAUAUGUGUAAGUAACUGUGCACAUCUUGACGGUACCUAAUCAGAAAGCCACGGCUAACUACGUG